UGGGGAAUAUUGCACAAUGGGCGAAAGCCUGAUGCAGCGACGCCGCGUGAGGGAUGACGGCCUUCGGGUUGUAAACCUCUUUCAGCAGGGAAGAAGCGAAAGUGACGGUACCUGCAGAAGAAGCACCGGCUAACUACGUGCCAGCAGCCGCGGUAAUACGUAGGGUGCGAGCGUUGUCCGGAAUUAUUGGGCGUAAAGAGCUUGUAGGCGGUUUGUCGCGUCUGCUGUGAAAAUCCGGGGCUCAACCCCGGACUUGCAGUGGGUACGGGCAGACUAGAGUAUGGUAGGGGAGACUGGAAUUCCUGGUGUAGCGGUGAAAUGCGCAGAUAUCAGGAGGAACACCGAUGGCGAAGGCAGGUCUCUGGGCCAUUACUGACGCUGAGAAGCGAAAGCAUGGGGAGCGAACAGG
Molecule: ribosomal RNA, 409 nt
Filed under: Bacillota bacterium
Lineage: Bacteria; Bacillati; Bacillota
Also listed under: 1 other name
Description: Firmicutes bacterium partial 16S ribosomal RNA
Rfam family: Bacterial small subunit ribosomal RNA
Source: RNAcentral